UACGUAGGGCGCAAGCGUUGUCCGGAAUUAUUGGGCGUAAAGAGCUCGUAGGCGGUCUGUCGCGUCCGUUGUGAAAACUCGAGGCUCAACCUCGGGCUUGCAGUGGAUACGGGCAGACUAGAGUGCGGUAGGGGAGACUGGAAUUCCUGGUGUAGCGGUGGAAUGCGCAGAGUAUCAGGAGGAACACCGAUGGCGAAGGCAGGUCUCUGGGCCGCAACUGACGCUGAGGAGCGAAAGCAUGGGGAGCGAACAGG
This 254-nucleotide ribosomal RNA is filed under the name uncultured bacterium. Its description in RNAcentral is "partial 16S ribosomal RNA". It matches the Rfam family "Bacterial small subunit ribosomal RNA", at positions 524 to 776 of the family's 1533-position model. The record is from RNAcentral.